GAAGGGGAGGAGAGUGGGAGGAGGUGCGGGUGGGAGUCCCGCAGAAGGAGCUUUUCAAUCCCAACAUGAAUUCCACCCGCAGUCUCUGACCGACAACACACGAGCCAUAUAGGCAGACAUCACGGCGCCUCGCGCAAGCGGAUACUUUCUGAAGUCUUUCCCAUCAGCGUUUGCUUGUUUUCCACGGAUGCCCUUAACGUCUUCCUCGUGACUUCAGCAUCGCCGCGGAACGGGAUGAGGCGGUAAAUGUCGCGUUUCGCAUCGUUUCGCUCCGGUUGAAGCCGCAGGAGUAUGUGAUCAUGUUGGCGACGCGCUGCCUCCUCCUGUGGGCUGCGGUCACCGCGCGACUCGCCGUGACAGGCUGGGGCAGCAGCAUCAAGCGGGACGGAGCGGAACGGGGACGCGAACAGAACGCGUAUUUGGAGGAGCUCACGCAGCCUCAGCGGCUGCUGCAGCGGACUGACGCGGAGGAGGAGCUGCCGCACGGACACUUGGGUACUCUAGUAAAGAUUGAUGCUGAUGGAGCGCAUCCCAUUCAUUUGGCUCAGAUCUCAUUCCUGGUGACGGCUUUUGGAAUCCCAUUUGUUCUAGACCUGGAGCUCAAUCAGUAUGUUCAAAAUCCCACUCACUGUA
This 633-nucleotide long non-coding RNA is filed under the name Sinocyclocheilus grahami. RNAcentral describes it as "lncRNA (ENSSGRG00000034282.1)". The record is from RNAcentral. Lineage: Eukaryota; Metazoa; Chordata; Actinopteri; Cypriniformes; Cyprinidae.